This 122-nucleotide ribosomal RNA is filed under the name Thysananthus discretus. Its description in RNAcentral is "5.8S ribosomal RNA". The stretch from base 1 to 88 matches the Rfam family "5.8S ribosomal RNA", at positions 66 to 154 of the family's 154-position model. From Rfam's summary of the family: 5.8S ribosomal RNA (5.8S rRNA) is a component of the large subunit of the eukaryotic ribosome. It is transcribed by RNA polymerase I as part of the 45S precursor that also contains 18S and 28S rRNA. The record is from RNAcentral. Lineage: Eukaryota; Viridiplantae; Streptophyta; Jungermanniopsida; Porellales; Lejeuneaceae.
UGUGAAUUGCAGAAUUCCGGAAUCAUCGAGUUUUUGAACGCAAGUUGCGCCCGAGGCUCGUUCCGAGGGCAUGCCCGCCUGAGCGUCGUUCCGACCCACCCACGAAUCCCCCCUUCGGAGGA